UUGAGUUUGAUCCUGGCUCAGUAUGAACGCGGGCUGUAUGCCUAAUACAUGCAAGUCGAACGGUCCUUAGGGACUGUGGCGGACGGGUGAGUAACGCGUGAGAACCUGCUUUCAGGACGGCGAUAACAGAGGGACACCGCUGCUACUACCCGAUAUGCCGAAAGGUGAAACAGAAUCUGCCUGGAGAAGAGCUCGCGUCUGAUUAGCUAGUUGGAGAGGUAAGAGCUCACCAAGGCGACGAUCAGUAGCUGGUCUGAGAGGAUGAGCAGCCACACUGGGACUGAGACACGGCCCAGACUCCUACGGGAGGCAGCAGUGGGGAACUGUCCGCAAUGUGCGAAAGCCUGACGGAGCAAUACCGCGUGAGAGAAGAAGGUCUAAUGAUUGUAAAUCUCUUUUCUCAAGGAAGAAGCAAGUGACGGUACUUGAGGAAUAGGCAUCGGUUAACUCCGUGCCAGCAGCCGCGGUAAGACGGAGGAUGCAAGCGUUAUCCGGAAUUAUUGGGCGUAAAGGGUCCGCAGGUGGCCUGUUACAAGUCUGCUGUCAAAGGUCGGAGCUUAACUCCGGGAAGGCAGUGGAAACUGUGAGGCUAGAGUCCGGUAGGGGUAGAGGGAAUUCCCAGUGUAGCGGUGAAAUGCGUAGAGAUUGGGAAGAACACCAGUGGCGAAGGCGCUGUACUGGGCCGGAACUGACACUGAGGGACGAAAGCUAGGGGAGCGAAAGGGAUUAGAUACCCCGUAGUCCUAGCUUAAACGAUGAACAGCAGCGUCACACUUCCUG
This 780-nucleotide ribosomal RNA is filed under the name uncultured Gloeocapsa sp. Its description in RNAcentral is "bacterial SSU rRNA". It matches the Rfam family "Bacterial small subunit ribosomal RNA", at positions 1 to 833 of the family's 1533-position model. The record is from RNAcentral. Lineage: Bacteria; Bacillati; Cyanobacteriota; Cyanophyceae; Chroococcidiopsidales; Chroococcidiopsidaceae.